UACGUAGGGGGCAAGCGUUGUCCGGAUUUAUUGGGCGUAAAGAGCGUGUAGGCGGCCACACAGGUCUGCUGUGAAAACUCGAGGCUCAACCUCGAGCUGUCGGUGGAAACCGUGUGGCUAGAGUCCGGAAGAGGAGAGUGGAAUUCCCGGUGUAGCGGUGAAAUGCGCAGAUAUCGGGAAGAACACCCGUGGCGAAGGCGGCUCUCUGGGACGGUACUGACGCUGAGACGCGAAAGCCGGGGGAGCAAACAGG
RNAcentral lists this ribosomal RNA (253 nucleotides) under uncultured bacterium. Its description in RNAcentral is "partial 16S ribosomal RNA". It matches the Rfam family "Bacterial small subunit ribosomal RNA", at positions 524 to 776 of the family's 1533-position model. The record is from RNAcentral.